RNAcentral lists this ribosomal RNA (301 nucleotides) under uncultured bacterium. RNAcentral's name for it is "partial 16S ribosomal RNA". It matches the Rfam family "Bacterial small subunit ribosomal RNA", at positions 509 to 808 of the family's 1533-position model. The record is from RNAcentral.
CAGCGCCGCGGUAAAACGUAGGUGGCAAGCGUUGUCCGGAAUUAUUGGGCGUAAAGGGCUCGCAGGCGGUUUCUUAAGUCUGAUGUGAAAGCCCCCGGCUCAACCGGGGAGGGUCAUUGGAAACUGGGAAACUUGAGUGCAGAAGAGGAGAGUGGAAUUCCACGUGUAGCGGUGAAAUGCGUAGAGAUGUGGAGGAACACCAGUGGCGGAGGCGACUCUCUGGUCUGUAACUGACGCUGAGGAGCGAAAGCGUGGGGAGCGAACAGGAUUAGAUACCCGCGUAGUCCCUGUCUCUUAUACA